Molecule: ribosomal RNA, 253 nt
Filed under: uncultured prokaryote
Description: partial 16S ribosomal RNA
Rfam family: Bacterial small subunit ribosomal RNA
Source: RNAcentral
UACGGAGGGUGCAAACGUUGCUCGGAAUCAUUGGGCGUAAAGCGCACGUAGGCGGUCUCUUAAGUCGGGUGUGAAAGCCUCGGGCUUAACCCGAGAAGUGCAUUCGAAACUGAGAGGCUGGAGUACGGAAGGGGGUCUCGGAAUUCCCGGUGUAGCGGUGAAAUGCGCAGAUAUCGGGAGGAACACCGGUGGCGAAGGCGGUUCUCUGGGCCUUACCUGACGCUGAGGAGCGAAAGCGUGGGGAGCGAACAGG